Molecule: transfer RNA, 72 nt
Filed under: Toxocara canis (dog roundworm)
Lineage: Eukaryota; Metazoa; Nematoda; Chromadorea; Rhabditida; Toxocaridae
Rfam family: tRNA
About the family: Transfer RNA (tRNA) molecules are approximately 80 nucleotides in length. Their secondary structure includes four short double-helical elements and three loops (D, anti-codon, and T loops).
Source: Rfam by way of RNAcentral
UGGGCAGUAGCUCAGUGGUAGAGCUCCCGCUUCGUAGGCGGGAAGAGCUGGGUUCCAUUCCCGGUUGCUUAC